UGUGUGAUAUUGCACAAUGGGCGAAAGCCUGAUGCAGCGACGCCGCGUGGGGGAUGAAGGCUUUCGGGUUGUAAACCUCUUUCGCUAUCGAACAAGGCCCGCUUAGGGUGGGUUGAGGGUAGGUGGAGAAGAAGCGCCGGCUAACUACGUGCCAGCAGCCGCGGUAAUACGUAGGGCGCGAGCGUUGUCCGGAAUUAUUGGGCGUAAAGGGCUUGUAGGCGGCUUGUUGCGCCUGCUGUGAAAACGCGGGGCUUAACUUCGCGCGUGCAGUGGGUACGGGCAGGCUUGAGUGUGGUAGGGGUGACUGGAAUUCCAGGUGUAGCGGUGGAAUGCGCAGAUAUCUGGAGGAACACCGAUGGCGAAGGCAGGUCACUGGGCCAUUACUGACGCUGAGGAGCGAAAGCAUGGGUAGCGAACAGG
This 420-nucleotide ribosomal RNA is filed under the name Chloroflexota bacterium. Its description in RNAcentral is "Chloroflexi bacterium partial 16S ribosomal RNA". It matches the Rfam family "Bacterial small subunit ribosomal RNA", at positions 355 to 776 of the family's 1533-position model. Lineage: Bacteria; Bacillati; Chloroflexota. The record is from RNAcentral.